RNAcentral lists this ribosomal RNA (505 nucleotides) under uncultured bacterium. RNAcentral's name for it is "partial 16S ribosomal RNA". It matches the Rfam family "Bacterial small subunit ribosomal RNA", at positions 28 to 507 of the family's 1533-position model. The record is from RNAcentral.
GACGAACGCUGGCGGCGUGCCUAAUACAUGCAAGUAGAACGCACAGUUUAUACCGUAGCUUGCUACACCAUAGACUGUGAGUUGCGAACGGGUGAGUAACGCGUAGGUAACCUGCCUGGUAGCGGGGGAUAACUAUUGGAAACGAUAGCUAAUACCGCAUAAUAUUGAUUAUUGCAUGAUAAUUAAUUGAAAGGUGCAAUUGCACCACUACCAGAUGGACCUGCGUUGUAUUAGCUAGUAGGUGAGGUAACGGCUCACCUAGGCGACGAUACAUAGCCGACCUGAGAGGGUGAUCGGCCACACUGGGACUGAGACACGGCCCAGACUCCUACGGGAGGCAGCAGUAGGGAAUCUUCGGCAAUGGACGAAAGUCUGACCGAGCAACGCCGCGUGAGUGAAGAAGGUUGUCGGAUCGUAAAGCUCGGUUGUAAGAGAAGAACGGGUGUGAGAGUGGAAAGUUCACACUGUGACGGUAUCUUACCAGAAAGGGACGGCUAACUACAUG